UGUGUACUCCCUCCGUUCCAAAAUACUUGACUUCCAUUUGUCCAAAAAUGGAUGUACCUAUAUACUAAAACAUGUCUAGAUACAUAUAUAUUUUGACAAAUAGAAGGCAUGUAUUGUGCAAUGGAGGGAGUAGAAU
Non-coding RNA from Triticum aestivum (bread wheat), 136 nucleotides. Lineage: Eukaryota; Viridiplantae; Streptophyta; Magnoliopsida; Poales; Poaceae. The record is from Rfam.